UCUCUCUACAAUUGAGGCGGUUAUCGCCGGUCAUCUUCUUCGAUCUUCUGUUUCUACCGAUGAUUCUCUGUUUUAGUGAGAUCUAUUGCCAGGUGUGUGUAGAUUUCGCCGAAAACCAAAGAUCACAUCAUUCCAGAGGGCGAAGGCAAAAGUUCGAAAAAGAAGAGAAAAGAGGCUGCUUUUGAGCUGAUCAAGUCAUAUUCCAACCGGAGCCAGCCAACCUUGCGCUGGAGAGAAGACUAUGAACUCCACUCUAAGGUGUGAAGGGCAAAAGCGUCACUUCAAGGGGGGUGGCACCCUAGGGAUCAGAGCCCUACGCCUCCCUAUAUAAAGGAGCCUUGCACACUAAAAGAAGGGAGUUCCCCCACAUUUCAUUUCUUGCUUAGUAGUUUAGGGGGGUUCUCUUUAGAGUAGGUAGGAUUUCUAGCUCUCUUCCAGAGCUGAACUCAAAGUUCUCUUCAAUUCCAAGCUUUUCAAUCUCUCGCACACACUUGGUUCCUUCUAGAGUAGCUGGUAGUUAGCUAUUAACCUUGCUUUCCUCGCACAAUUUACGGUUUUGUUUUGUUAUUCCACUCCGAGAAGGGGUGAUGAACAAUUUCCUGCUUUCUUAGUGUAGUUUUGUUUCAUUGACUCUCGUUCCUGCUUUGUUUUAGUUAAUGUGAAGUUUCUGUUUUCGUUUCCUUA
Molecule: non-coding RNA, 684 nt
Organism: Salvia hispanica
Lineage: Eukaryota; Viridiplantae; Streptophyta; Magnoliopsida; Lamiales; Lamiaceae
Source: RefSeq, a predicted model, not a curated record